This 136-nucleotide ribosomal RNA is filed under the name uncultured Trebouxiophyceae. RNAcentral describes it as "partial small subunit ribosomal RNA". It matches the Rfam family "Eukaryotic small subunit ribosomal RNA", at positions 1670 to 1804 of the family's 1831-position model. The record is from RNAcentral. Lineage: Eukaryota; Viridiplantae; Chlorophyta; Trebouxiophyceae.
CGCCCGUCGCUCCUACCGAUUGGAUGUGCUGGUGAAGCGUUCGGAUUGGUGGCAGGGGACGGUUUCCGUUGCCUGCCGCCGAAAAGUUCGUUGAACCCUCCCAUCUAGAGGAAGGAGAAGUCGUAACAAGGUUUCC